Molecule: long non-coding RNA, 3480 nt
Filed under: Nicotiana tabacum (common tobacco)
Lineage: Eukaryota; Viridiplantae; Streptophyta; Magnoliopsida; Solanales; Solanaceae
Description: long non-coding RNA (NTAB_LNC010283)
Source: RNAcentral
GAAUUUUUGAUUUAUAACAUUUUUUUCAAAUACAAAAUAGGAAGUAUAAUAAUAAAAGACUCGACAAAGUUAACUAAACUAUGACAGAUUCUAACAUCACCUAAAAGACUCGACAUUACUGUACAAAGACGGCAUAAAAGAAAAAUAGACUCAAACAUUAAAAAAUCUCCUUAAGCCACUCCUGAAUGAGCGAUCCUGACUAGAUAGUCCUGGGGCAUCUGUCAUUCUCAAACUCCGGUAAGUAAAUCUACACCUGUAUGAGAAAAUUAAGACCAAAUAAAGUUAAAGACCUAGAACGCUACGUGAGACAAUAACCCUUCCUGUUGGACACAUGCAAGACAUGAUUGUGACUAUUUUUCUAAAAUUAACCUGUGGCUAAAAGUGGCUAAAAAUGCAAGAUUUCGCUAAGACCCCGCGAAUCCAAGAACCUAAGAUUCACUAGAAAAAUCGGACCCUAUGUGGGUUGCCUAGGUAUCACGCCUCGAAAUACGAGAAUCAGGUAUGCGUAGUUCGGGCAGAUUGGAUACGGGCGAGAAUUAAAAAAAACACUUAUUUGAAGAAAAUAUAUUUUUGUCUUUUCUUUUUGAAAAAUGAUGAAACAUGUAAACUCUUUUUGGAUUUUCUUUUUCCCUUUUUUUGAUUCCUUUUUUUUUGGGAAAUGAUGGAAAAGUGCAAAAUCUUUUUGGACUUUUCAUGUUUUUUUUUCUUUUUCUUAAAAAAUGUGAAAGAAAAAUAUAACUGGGCCCUAUUUGCUUUAUUUUUACACUUCAACCUCUUUUUUCUCAUUUACCCUCAAACCUCAUUGGUCCGCCAAAUAACCCAUUUUACCUUUGAAGAUUGCAAUAUGUAGAAUAUUAGGAUGCAUCAGGAUGGUUUGUUAUUUUGGGUGCACCUAUCAUAGACAGACCCAACUCAUGUGUUGAGUCCCCAAAGUCAAAUGCAUGUGAUGCAAACAAGCAUUCCUACUAGGGAUCUGGCAUGAGGCUAUGUUAUACUAUAUUUAAAACUUGGGUGUAUUGUUCUAGACCUGGCUUACCCGAGCAGACAGCUCGAGCCGAGGGGGUGGCAGUGUACCGGGAAUACAGAAGCUUCACCGGCUUUGCAACUUGUCCGAACCUCGUUCUAAAAUUGGGAUAUGACUCUAACAGAAGAGAAGUCACACGAAGUGCACCCUUCCCAGAUGAUUUAGAAGAUUCAAAGAGAGGAGGGUUUUGUAACAGUUUAUAUACAGUUCAAACAAUAUCAAAGCGGUAAAAAGUGACAUUUAUCACAUUAGGCUCAAACAUGUAAAAAUCAUAUAAUAAAUAAAGCUAACUAUAACAGAUAUUCUAAGCUCGAAUUCUAAACCCUGAACCAGAGAUUCUUGUUUCUUGUCCCCAACAGAGUCGACAAAGCUAUCACAUCUCCUUUUUCCUACCCCUAGAAGGGGUUAUAAGAGGAGUUUUUUCCAAUUUAAAUGACAAUCGAAACGGGAUCAUUUAUUUAAAAUUCAGAGUUGCCCCUUGGGAUAAUUUAUGGUGUCCCAAGUCACCGGUUUAAAAUCCCGAAUCUAGGAAAUUGACUCUUAUUUAUGGUCUGCGAACACAGAAAUCCGGGUAAGGAAUUUUGUUAACCCGGAAGAAGGUGUUAGGCAUUCCCGGGUUCCGUGGUUUUAGCACGGUCACUUAACUAUUAAUAUGGCCUAAUUAUCUGAUUAAUCACAUGUUUUAAACCUACGUGCAUCUUUAAACCUUUUAACCGCUUUUAAUAUUUCAGGAAAAUUCAAGGUUAUUUAAAACAUAUUGUAAGCCACGCUACAUGAAAUGCACUCGCGGUUCACGACACGUUCUAUUUAACUUUGUUGGAAAUUAGAAUCGGGUCACAUGAAAUGUACACCCAGAUUUUAGUAAUUACAAAUCACAACUGCGUCACGGAAGUCGUAUUCGUAACCAUAAUAAUUGUUUAAUUAACGCGCCUAAAGCAAACUACGAAACUCAUUUUUUUGCAACUAAACUGAAUUGUGAUGGCUUGCGAAGUUCAAAGAUUUAUGGAAUACAAUAUUGGAUAAGCAUAAUUUACUGCUUAUUCAACCAACUUCUGGUUGGUCAUUACUAAAAGAAAAGAUAUGGCUACUUCCGGAAAUUUAGACCUUUAACUUGGGAAUAUUAUCAAUCUCAAAUUAAUCUAACAUGUACAAGAUUUUAAAAUACAUACAAAUUUGAGCCAUGAACAACUAGAAAUUCUAUCCAAAGUAAAAGUAACAUCUACACUACUCAAAGUCAAAUUUGCAUUCUUAGCUAUGGAAUGGGUCACAGUGAAUUAAAACGAGGAUCAAAACUUAAUCAAUGGCCUAAAUUACAACAGAGGCUACGCUCGCUGCAAUUCUUAAGCAACUGUAUAAGCUUUAUAUCCAUACACAAUCAUCUAACAAUAAACCACAAAUAAUCUAGAGCUUCACCUUUAAACUCAAUAUUUAUAGAUCUAAUCAACCAGUGACAAGAUCUGUAAACUCGAGAUACUAGCACAUUCAGUUAAACCUCUUCAAUCAACAAGAAAAUGUCGGCGUAAUUCUAUUAAACAGAAGAUAGGAUGACGACAAUUAAUUCAAGUUUGAGAGUCAAGUGAAAUCACAAUAGAACUAAAUCAGCUGUGAUAACAAUAGAAUUCAGCCGUGAAAACAAUAGAAUUCAACUAUGAAGAACAUAUAGUUUUAUUUCAGCAACGACAUUGUAGAACAGACAUGAUUUGCUAAAUCUAUACGGGAUUACGAAAUCAGGAGUUAGGGAAUACCUCGAAAUGGCUAAAUUGAAGGAGAAAACUAAUGAAGAAACUAUAAUUAGUUCAGCACAAUGAGCAGCAGAGUUACAGCUCCAAAAAACAAAUUUCAACUCUAAAUCCGAGCAAAAUUGGCGGCAAAAGACCAGCAUAAAACGCGAACCUUAACAGCGGAUGGAAUCAAACUCACAAUCUGACCCCGAACCUCAAACGGAAACUCGAAUCGUCAUCGGAGCGAACCCAAUCAAACCCCGUAGAAUUCCAUGAUUUCUUUUGGAAAAUCAGAAAUUAAAAAUCAACUAAGAGAAUGCAGAGGACAGUGGUCUGCGGAUUUUCAUGGCAUCUCCGGCCAGAUGGCUUGGUGGUGUGUAGUGAAGAAAAAGCAGUGGCUGCUGUGUGUGUGUGGUGGCGUGAGGGGUGGUCGCUGGUCUUUGGAUUACAGGGUUCUGCCCAUUGGUGUUGCUUCAGAUCUCUAUGCGUGUAUAUGUGUGUAGGUCUUGAAGAGAGGGUCGUUUGGGGUGGGGCGAGGAAGAAGGGUUUCUGGGGGUGGGGUCUAAUUUUUGGUGGAAAACGGCGGAUUGUAUCCUUGUGUGUCAGCUUUUUAGGCGUUAGGUCUAGGGUCCUGUAGGUCUAGGUCUAAUUUUGGUUAUACAGAUAGGGUUUUUAGGUUAAGGGGGCAUAGGUUUGAUAUUAUUGAGCCUUAAAAUUAGGACAAAGACUAAAAAC